CCAAAGAAACUAGGAGCGUGGUUGCCUUUUAUCUCUGGCAAGGCAGUGUCCGUACUUAACUUCUUCUCCAUCUAGCGUCAAAAAAAAAACUUCUUCUCCAUCUCCCUUCACGCCGCAAUCAAGAGAACGAAGGCGCCUAGGGUUGCGGCUUCCAUCUUGCCACUCCAGCGGCUCAUCCCAGCCAGCCACGCCCCAUUGACGGCCUCCUCCAUUCUUCUCUGCACCGGCCUUGUCCCCGUCUUCCCCGCCCUGUUCCAGCUCCCCUCCUGCCGUGCGCCUUGAACUCCUCGGAUCAAACCCAGCUUCCCCUCUGCGUAAUCGUCCUGAGUGGUAACUACGGUCUGACUUCCCGUUGCCUGACCAGGUAACCCGAUUCCCUCCUCCCUUCUCCCUCCCCCGGUCCUUACUGACCCUUCUUCCCUUGUGUUAUUUCUUUCUUCUUAUUUUUUUCCUUCAACCAUUGUGCAAUUCGUGUUUAUAGUGAGAUUAUAUAUGCUUCCAAUGCAGGUUGUGUUUGUGAAUAAUGAUGAUUACUUGGUUUGUAGUGUAUAUUGUUAGUUUAUAAGGUGGAAUUGAGUUAGUUUGCAAGGUGUUUGUGAGAAUGCUUAUAUGAUAAAAAAAAGAACAUGUAUUCCAUAGAAAUUUACAGUCAGAACUCUGAUAGGUCAUAGGAUGUGUGAUCCGCUAGCCAAAGGAAUGCCCGAUGCAACCAAUCGCCAUCGGCAUGAAGUCGGGCAUUGGAGCAGGGAGCACUCCGCCCUUGUAUCCGCUGGCAGCCCGACUUGGAUUCAAAUAGUUAUUCAGUUAUAUGCUCAAGUUAUAUUGGUUCUUUAAAUUUAAGGGCUCUUUUUUCAUUUCGCACCGGGCCCCCAAAUUUCUGGAGACGGCCCUGCCACCGAGCAGCGUCCCCGCGCCCGCACGCUACCACCUCGCGCUCGCCUCGUCCUCGGCUGCUCGGCACUUCGGCAGGCACGACCAGGACCGCGCUCGGAGCACGCUGACCGCCGUCCAUCGCAACGGCCCGGGUCGCAACAGGCAGCACGCAGGGGCCAACGCCAGUCCACUGGGCCUAGCUUGUUACAUUUGCAAAGGACAAAUUCUGGCAUGAAUACCACUCAGAAAGUUGAUCCAGGGGAACCAGCUGCUAAGAUUGCUCAACAAGCCUCUCAGUUCAAACGAUGGGGACGCAGACAUCCAUUUGUUCGAUAUGGUCUUCCACUCAUUUCGUUGACAGUGUUUGGUGCGGUUGGUCUAGCUCAUCUUAUACAGGGAAGCAAAGAAGUAACAAAGGAAAAGGAGGAUAUGGAAUGGGAGGUCGUAGAGAAAACAAAAGCUCUGAGCCGAACAGGACCGGUUGAAGGGGCCUAUAAGCCUAAGAAGCUCUCACUAGAGGAUGAACUCAAGGCUUUGCAGCAAAAGGUGGACAUAAACAGCUACGACUACAAGAGAAUUCCCAAACAAAAUGAAAACAAGUGAAGUAAAGCACCGGUUAUCAUGCUAAGGAGUGGGAGAUUUUCUUAAAAGCUCUGAAGUAGUUUCUUCAUAUUGUUACUUCAUAAGUUCCUUGGGAUGCUGUCGAAGUGUUAAAAUGAGAUUAUGGAGACAUCAUCAUCAGAGAACUCUGUGCUUCAUCAGCCACCAGCAGUCGAGACUUAGGUCGAUGAUCCUUAUGAAGGCUUGAACCGUAGGAAUCAUCUUUGUAGCAAUAGGAGAUGGACGUUUUCACAGUCCGCCCAAGUGAGUUUCUUUUUUUGAGUUGAUCGAAUACCGCCUUCAUUAUCAAGGGGCCAAUAAAUUGUAACAGAGUACUCUGACGUGUGAACAAUCAGAUUUUGUAUGCCAUUCCUUGGAAGCUACUCCCUCCGUCCCAUAAUAUAAGAGGAGCCAGAUCCUCUAACAUGCUCAAGGAAAGUCAC
RNAcentral lists this ribosomal RNA (1916 nucleotides) under Triticum aestivum (bread wheat). RNAcentral's name for it is "partial small subunit ribosomal RNA". Lineage: Eukaryota; Viridiplantae; Streptophyta; Magnoliopsida; Poales; Poaceae. The record is from RNAcentral.